This is a long non-coding RNA of Solanum tuberosum (potato), 434 nucleotides long. RefSeq lists it as uncharacterized. The transcript is spliced from 4 exons. NCBI's taxonomy places the organism in Eukaryota, Viridiplantae, Streptophyta, Magnoliopsida, Solanales, Solanaceae. The record is from RefSeq and is a predicted model, not a curated record.
UAUUGUUUGAGCUUAAUUUCAAGUCUUGCAAACUCAGUUCGUGUGCUUGCUAACCUGGAUGGGUCAGUUGGCCGCAUUUUAAAGAGGACUGAGCUAGACAUGGAAUUUAUUCAAUGUGACAUCAACAACUUAACAUGGAGAGGUCAGAUUGUUGAAACAGUGGUUAUGAAUCCAUCUUUUGGAACACAAAGGAAAGGACACAUGUUUCUUCCACCAAAUAAUGCUCAUGUAGGUGGCUGGAUUUACAGGUGGAAGAAAUAUGCCAACCAUGAUGCAGAGCAAACAUGUUAUAAAUUGGACAAUCCACAUGGUUUUCCACAGAUAGCAACGAUGGUAUCGACUCGAGUUAACUUCCUGCCGUUGGAGUUUUAACAUUUUAUCUAUAAAAAAUAUUUUAAAUCUCAAGAUUUAUGUAACGUCAUAUCAUGUCCUAA